This 255-nucleotide ribosomal RNA is filed under the name uncultured bacterium. RNAcentral's name for it is "partial 16S ribosomal RNA". It matches the Rfam family "Bacterial small subunit ribosomal RNA", at positions 524 to 776 of the family's 1533-position model. The record is from RNAcentral.
UACAGGGGAGGCAAGCGUUGUUCGGAAUUACUGGGCGUAAAGGGUUCGUAGGUGGCCAACUAAGUCAGACGUGAAAUCCCUCAGCUUAACUGGGGAACUGCGUCUGAUGACUGGAUGGCUUGAGUGUAGGAGAGGAAUGCGGAAUUCCAGGUGUAGCGGUGAAAUGCGUAGAUAUCUGGAGGAACACCGGUGGCGAAGGCGGCAUUCUGGACUACAACGUGACACUGGGGAACGAAAGCCAGGGGAGCAAACGGG